Acyrthosiphon pisum (pea aphid) is the source of this 1476-nucleotide RNA transcript. It is a transcript of the gene named serine/arginine-rich splicing factor 3-like, with no coding region annotated. The transcript has 5 exons. The record is from RefSeq and is marked provisional. NCBI's taxonomy places the organism in Eukaryota, Metazoa, Arthropoda, Insecta, Hemiptera, Aphididae.
AUCGUCGUUUUCCACCAUUUCAGCGCCGCCGACCACUGCAAACGGGGUCCUCUACGGCUCUACUCCAACUCCCCUAGCAGCCGAUGACACGGCCGCUGCGUGAGCGUUUUGUCAUUUGUUUUCGUUAGUCGUUCUCUUUGCUUUUUCCCACCGUUGUAAUCUACGUAGUAGAACACGUUGACGACGAUAUCGCAUCGGGCUUGCAGUUAGUCACGUAACAAACGAGUACCGGUUUUUUAAAUUUUCAAGUUUUCACAUUCUUGUCGCCGCAGCAGGAGUACAAGCAAGUGUACGCCGCCCACACGAUUCGCCGAAAUAUAAUUUUGAAACUUGUCAAGACUUAAAGAAACAUGUCUCAUCGUGACUGGGAUCAAUCAUGCAAAGUGUACAUUGGUAAUUUGGGGCAAAAUGGUACUAAACAUGAAAUUGAAGCAUCAUUCACAAAGUAUGGUCCAUUGAAAAAUACUUGGAUUGCUAGAAAUCCACCUGGAUUUGCUUUUGUUGAAUUUGAAGAUCCUAGGGAUGCUGAAGAUGCAGUCAGGGGACUUGACGGAACCCGCAUCUGUGGAGUACGUGUGCGUGUUGAAAUGUCUAGCAAUAGACCUCGCGGUGGACGCGAUGGUCGUGGUGGUGGUGGAGGUGGCGAUCGCAGAGGAGGUGGUGGUGGCGGAGGAGGUGGUGGAUACAACAGAGGUCCUCCACGCUACAAUGAUAGGUAUAAUGACAGGAAAAGGAUCAUUGGUUUUCGCCCAUACUAAAAAAAUUUAUCAUCCCAUCUUAUAAAAAAAUCUCACACUGACAAUAUGACUUGACCAACAAUUUUCGUACUUCGCUCCAUCAAUUCUACCGAAUUGAAAUACCGUAACGUGUUAUUUAACAUCAUGCGGGUGGAAACAGCCUAUUCUACACUAUUCUACAAUAUUCUUCCAACGCCUCUACCCUACGAUCAACUCUUCACAAGCACUUGUAUGCUUUCUUGGCUGUUUUAACGUCUCCACUCACACUCUCCAUCUAAACAACAUAUGGUAUUAUUUAUUCUUUCAUUGAAAAUUGAGAGUUGUAAGUUAAAAGAUCACGAUCGCGAUCUCCUAAACGCCGUGCACCGCCUUCACGGUCACGUUCAAGGAGCUACUCACCAAGACAACGCCGUACGUCACAUUCCUAAGAUAAUAAUUAUAAACAACGAUGAUACAGGUUCCAUUUAAUAUGAACUUUAGUACGCCCCAAUUUAUUAUUGUUCCCUAAAUAUAAAACUUCAAUAUUUUCUGUUAGAAUUCUACAGAAAUCUUAAUGAUUUUUUUUUUUUUUUAAUGAUCUAAUUUGUAAUUUUUUUUACUCAAGAUCACUUGGUAUCUCCAAAAGAUCACAUCAAAUUUGAUAGCUUUAUAAUAAGUUGACUUUUGUAAGUUAUUUUUAUUCAUUGUACCUACCAUUAGUUUGGUUUACUUAAAAUAUACAAUACUCUUAGAUAAAUAA